Molecule: transfer RNA, 92 nt
Filed under: Streptomyces thermodiastaticus
Lineage: Bacteria; Bacillati; Actinomycetota; Actinomycetes; Kitasatosporales; Streptomycetaceae
Also listed under: 2 other names
Description: tRNA-Gly
Source: RNAcentral
UGGCGUACUCGGAGGACGGCAUCGUCCGGCUGCCGUCCGGGGCGCAGUGGCAGAAGGUGGUCAAGGACGGCUCGGCCCCGGUGUAUCCCGGC